UGGGGAAUAUUGGACAAUGGGCGAAAGCCUGAUCCAGCCAUGCCGCGUGUGUGAAGAAGGUCUUCGGAUUGUAAAGCACUUUAAGUUGGGAGGAAGGGCAGUAAGCGAAUACCUUGCUGUUUUGACGUUACCGACAGAAUAAGCACCGGCUAACUCUGUGCCAGCAGCCGCGGUAAUACAGAGGGUGCAAGCGUUAAUCGGAAUUACUGGGCGUAAAGCGCGCGUAGGUGGUUCGUUAAGUUGAAUGUGAAAGCCCCGGGCUCAACCUGGGAACUGCAGCCAAAAAGGGCGAGCUAGAGUAGGGCAGAGGGUGGGGGAAUUUCCUGUGUAGCGGUGAAAUGCGUAGAUAUAGGAAGGAACACCAGUGGCGAAGGCGACCACCUGGGCUCAUACUGACACUGAGGUGCGAAAGCGUGGGGAGCAAACAGG
This 429-nucleotide ribosomal RNA is filed under the name Pseudomonadota bacterium. RNAcentral's name for it is "Proteobacteria bacterium partial 16S ribosomal RNA". It matches the Rfam family "Bacterial small subunit ribosomal RNA", at positions 355 to 776 of the family's 1533-position model. The record is from RNAcentral. Lineage: Bacteria; Pseudomonadati; Pseudomonadota.